GCGUGGAUGGGGCGUCAACUUUGGCAAGGAACUCAACUAACUGGGAGGUGACAAACUGCUACCUGGUAUCCUCACGAUCUCGGAGUUCCAUCUGUCUACACAAAGAAGCCCAGAGUCUUGUACUGUCUCUUCCUGUCUGGCUACCCCUGAUGCUGCCGUGCCUACAGUUCACUUGUGCCCUGCAGGACCCUGUAAUUAUCCUUUCCCUAUCAAGUAGAAGACCAGCCAAAGGGGGUAAGGACACCUUUUCCAAGCUGCAGGAUCACAACUGAUAUAGCAGGACUAUGAGUAUAAUCAGCCAUGGUGUUUCCAACUCACCUCAGACACUGAAGUGACUCCUCCUACUGUCAUCAAAACGUGUUCUCAAAUGGCAAUGGCAUCAUGGCAAUGCUGAGAUGGAGUCUUCAGGAUGGAGCUUUUUGAAGCCAGCACAGAUGGGUCUAAAAUUCUUGCUUGGGGCCAUAUGGAGUGGAUAAGCCGGGAGGAAAUGAUACCGGCCUCUGUUUCUGCUCAACUCUCUCCACUGGGUCAGUGGACCCUUUGAAGUAGCCCUUUCUUUACCUCAGAUUCUGACAUGAAUAACUGAUCACCUUCCAGUCUACACAAGAUAAGGAGCCGUGGCUCAAAACUGCAACUCUCUUAAGUAUAUGAGAGCCAGACCACCCAGGGCACUGUUCCAAGAAGGGAGAGAAUUUCCCACAUGUGUUCAGCAUUUUAUUCUUCCCCCAACACUUGGCUCUGUAUUACUGUGUUUAAAUUGGAUAAUGUCUACAUGAAAGGGCUAUGUCAAUGGUAUCAGUAACAAAAAAGAUGCCACCCACCUGGGGAUGUCAAGAGAGAAAAUAUAGGGUGCUAGACAAAUGGCUCUGUGGCUAAGAGCACUGGCUGCUCUUACAGACAACCAAGGUUUCGUCCCCAGCACCCACAUGGGUGCUCAAAACCAUCUGUAAUUCCAGCUCCAGGGGAUCUGGCACCCUCUCCUGGUCUCUGUUGACACUGCAAGUACACAGUGCCCAUACAUAUAUGCAAACAAACACUUUCACACAUAAAAUAAAAAUAAGGAAAGCCAGGGUGGGUUCAGAGGGAGAAUAUGAAUGAGAAUACGACAAGUCCACUCUUGAAGGUUCUGUCUGGUGUCACUUGUGGCUCUAGACUGGCCACCAAAAAUGCUCCAGGCUGCUGACUAAGAGGGCAGGUUAUAUUUAUAACCAGAGAGAAGGAAAUUAGGUGAAGAAAUUGGAUUGAGGUAGCCACUGUUUGAUUGGUCACAGAUGUGUCUGUCUUAUUUGAACUUCUUGCUGGCUGCUGGUGACAGGCCAAGGCUCUGUGAUUUGUUACAAGGUAGGUUCCACAUCACGCUAGGCUGCAGUUGAGUAUUUGUGCAGAAACCUUUGACCAAACUUAAAAAUACAACCCUGUGCUGGCUAGUUUAAUGUCAGCUAGACACAGGCUAGAGUCAUCAGGGAGGAGGGAAGCUCCAUUGAGAAGAUGCCUCCAUAAGAUCAAGCUGUAGGCAAGCCUGUUGGACAUUUUCCUAAUUCAUGAAGGAUAGCCCAGCCCAUUGUGGGUGGUGCCAUCCCUGGGCUGGUGGUCCUGGGUUCUAUAAGAAAACAGGCUGAGUAAGCCAUGAGGAGCAAGCCAGUGAGCAGCUCCCCUCCAUGGCCUCUGCAUCAGCUCCUGCCCCCAGGUUCCUGCCCUGCUUGAGUUUCUAUCCUGACUUCCUUCAGUGAUGAACAGCAAUAUGGAAGUGUAAGCUGAAUAAACCCUUUCCUCCCCAAGUUGCAUUUGGUCAUGGUGUUUCAUUACAGCAAUAGUAACCUGAACUAAGAUACAAUUCUAGGUAGCUUUAAUACAAAUGGCUUCAACUGGUAUAUCCACAGUGGAGACAAGAGCCACAUUGGGUCCCUCAAAGAUUUCCCAGAGGUGGUCCUGACGUGGGGCCCUUAGGAGCCUUUCUUGAUCUGCUUUGCCACUCUCUCAUUCUCCUGCCUCGCCUCAAAACCACUUACCUUUUUCUCUUGCUUAAUGGCUGUUUAUCAAGAUUUUGGAGAUGCUACCCAGGCUAGGGCAAAAGCCUUAUUGUAUCCCAUAUAUAUGCAUUUUCCUUUUUAAAAAUAUCUGGAAUUAGCUCAUAACCCAUUUCCAUUUUUGGAGAAGACCUUAGUGAAUCUUCCUGGUGGGAUGUUGUAUUCAGCUCCAAGUGUGUCAAGACAGGGGCUGCCACUGUUGUAGCAGCUGGGGUUACUUCCCUCCCAUGGAGCCCACAUCAGGGGCAGCAGACCCGCCUAUCUUCCUGCCUCUAUUGGCCAAACAGUGUUUUAUUCAGCAACCAAUAAGAGAAAUAUAUAUACAGAAGAACAUCCCCCAUCAGGAAGCAAGAUGAAGACUAGCUGACCACUCAGCUUCUGUGAUCACCUGACACUCAAAGUUUCAGAGGUUUAGUCCGCCGUCAUCAUGGUGGGAAACACAGUGGCGUGCAAGCAGAUAUGGCGCUAGAGAAGGGGCUGAGAGUUCUACAUCCUGAUCAGCAGGCAACAGGAAGUGAACUGUGUGCUGGAAGUAGCUUGAGCAUAGGAGAUCACAAAGCCCACCCCAUACAGUGAGACACUUCUUCCAGCAAGACCACACCUACGCCAACAAAGUUACACCUCCUAACUGUGCCACUCCCUAUGGGGGCCAUUUUCUUUCAAACCACCAUACCUGUGUUAUAUAAGAAUGUAGGCUGAACAAACCAUGAAGAGCAAGCCAGGAAACAAUGUUCCUUCGUGGUCUCUACUUGAAUUCCUGUUUCUGGGUUUCUGCUUUGGGUCCCUGUCUUUGUGUCCCUUGAUGAUGUACUAUAACCUGUAAGCUGAAAUAAACCUUGUUCCUGAAAAAUUGCUUUUGGUCAAAGUUUUAUCAUAAGAUCAGACAGCAAACUAGGACAGUGACCAGUGCUGACAAUAUAGCCCUCAAAACGUGUCCCUGCCAUUGAGUGACACAUGAUUAUCUACUUUUUUUUGUCAGGAUCGGCUAGAAUUCUGGUCAAUUUUUUGUUUAUCAGUUACUGCCUUUGACUCUUGAUAGUCCCUUAUGAUGAAGUUUUCUUCUUACUGGACCAUGUCUUCUAGUUGAUGGGCUGGGGGUUUUCUCAUCUCUUAAAUGUUCAAAAAUAUCUGAAAUUUCCCCUCAUAGUUGGAUAAUUGGG
This 3187-nucleotide long non-coding RNA is filed under the name Cricetulus griseus (Chinese hamster). Its description in RNAcentral is "lncRNA (ENSCGRG00015038078.1)". Lineage: Eukaryota; Metazoa; Chordata; Mammalia; Rodentia; Cricetidae. The record is from RNAcentral.